CAAGGGGCUGACAUCUCAAGAAAGGCAGCAUUCUGCUCCCGAAUAAGAUGAGACUGCUGGGUAUCCUCCUGUGCCUGAUGAUAGCCCCCCAGGGUGUUCUGUCAGAUGUGAAGCUGCAGGAGUCAGGCCCUGGGUUGGUGAAGCCCUCGCAGACCCUCUCCCUCACCUGUGCUGUCUCUGGUUACUCCAUCACAACCAGUGGUUAUUGCUGGGACUGGAUCCGCCAGCCACUAGGGAAGCGGCUGGAGUGGAUUGGGGUAAUAUGUUAUGAUGGAAGCACAGCCUAUAGCCCGACCUUUAAGAGCCGCACCUCCAUCUCGAGAGACACGUCCAAAAACCAGUUCUCCCUGCAGCUGAGCUCCAUGACCACGGAGGACACAGCUGUAUAUUACUGUGCAAGAGACACAGUGAGGGGAAGUCAGGGUGAGCUCUGA
Pteronotus mesoamericanus is the source of this 434-nucleotide non-coding RNA. Lineage: Eukaryota; Metazoa; Chordata; Mammalia; Chiroptera; Mormoopidae. The record is from the annotation of a RefSeq genome assembly.